This 480-nucleotide ribosomal RNA is filed under the name uncultured Alistipes sp. Its description in RNAcentral is "bacterial SSU rRNA". It matches the Rfam family "Bacterial small subunit ribosomal RNA", at positions 38 to 507 of the family's 1533-position model. Lineage: Bacteria; Pseudomonadati; Bacteroidota; Bacteroidia; Bacteroidales; Rikenellaceae. The record is from RNAcentral.
GACGGCAGGCUAACACAUGCAAGUCGAGGGGCGAGCGAGUAGAUUUGCUUGCAAUCUACUCGGGCGACCGGCGGCACGGGUGCGUAACGCGUAUGCAACUACCCAUUACAGGGGGAUAACACUGAGAAAUCGGUACUAAUACCCCAUAACAUCCAGGGAGGCAUCUUCUUGGGUUGAAAACUCCGGUGGUAAUGGAUGGGCAUGCGUUGUAUUAGUUAGUUGGUGGGGUAACGGCUCAACCAAGACAACGAUACAUAGGGGGACUGAGAGGUUAACCCCCCACAUUGGUACUGAGACACGGACCAACUCCUACGGGAGGCAGCAGUGAGGAAUAUUGGUCAAUGGACGCAAGUCUGAACCAGCCAUGCCGCGUGCAGGAAGACGGCUCUAUGAGUUGUAAACUGCUUUUGUACGAGGGUAAACGCAGAUACGCGUAUCUGUCUGAAAGUAUCGUACGAAUAAGGAUCGGCUAACUCCGUG